Molecule: ribosomal RNA, 256 nt
Filed under: uncultured bacterium
Lineage: Bacteria
Description: partial 16S ribosomal RNA
Rfam family: Bacterial small subunit ribosomal RNA
Source: RNAcentral
UAAUACGAAAGGUGCAAGCGUUACUCGGAAUCACUGGGCGUAAAGCGCACGUAGGCGGACUUACAGGUCAAUUGUGAAAUACCUGGGCUCAACCCGGGAACUGCAGUUGAAACCGUUUGUCUUGAAUACCUGAGAGGGUGGGGGAAUACCUGGUGGAGAAGUGAAAUUCGUAGAGAUCAGGUGGAACACCGGAGGCGAAGGCGCCUGCCUGGCAGUGUAUUGACGCUGAGGUGCGAAAGUGCGGGGAGCAAACAGG